Molecule: long non-coding RNA, 1376 nt
Filed under: Equus caballus (horse)
Lineage: Eukaryota; Metazoa; Chordata; Mammalia; Perissodactyla; Equidae
Description: lncRNA (ENSECAG00000050538.1)
Source: RNAcentral
UCUCCUUGGCUUCUAGAUGGCCACCUUCUCACUGCUUUGCCCUCAAAUGUUGUUCUUCUGUGCCCCUAGUGUCUCUUCUUGUUCUUAUAAAGAUACCAGUCAUAUUGGAUUAAGCCCCCACACUAAUGGCCUCAUUUUAACUCAAUCACCUCUUUAAAGACCCUAUCUCCAAAUACAGUUACAUUCUGAAGGACUGGGGAUUGGAACUUCAACAUAUGAAUUUGGCGGGGGGGACGUAAUUCAGCCCACAGUAUUGUCUGAUAGAAAUAAUUAGAGAAGGGGGCAGUAGGUCUGUGCAAGCUGUGCCCUGUGCAAUUCCAGUUGUGGAAUGUAGCAGCUGUUGCAUACCGUGGGGUUGCCUCCAACUGUGUCCCUGUCAGAUCCCAUCUGUGAAUUGCAAAUCUCCUGCAACAGAUGCUCUCUGUCAAGUGAAACUCCUCCCAAAAUUUUAUGUAAAGGGCACAUUGUGGGACCAAGCUGGCAAGUAGUGACGGUACCAGACGCGGUGUAGGGGCUCAGGGCAAGUAACUGUGAUACCAUCACUCUUCCUUCCCCUUCAUCAAGUUAGCAUGAACCAUGGUUAAAGGAGGGUUGUUUGUGUUUGAGGGAGCAGAGUGAUGUGGCUAGAGAGAAUCUCAGUCUAACAGAGAGACAGAUAGAUCGACACUGUUCCAGAGUUGUUCAGGCUUGCAACGAGUCCUGACUGACAACAUUCUCUAUUUUGUUCACACAGCGAUUUGCUGUGUUGUUUGGAUUCUGCGUCUUCCUUUUCUGGCUCCCUUAUUCCCUGGGCUGCUUUGAGGUAGGUUUUAGAAGGAAAGGGCACAUCAAAGGAAGCAGAGAUCUAAACAAUGGUCCAACCACAAUGUUUCUGGUGAGUCACGGCUGGCAGGUGGAGCUAUGCAGUGCGCCUUUCCCUCACUUUCCCAAUAUCUCUUUUGCAGAUAUUGAGGCUAAAGAACCUCCAGGGAGGAUGAGAAAGGGACUCAUAUAUUGGCUUUAUGAUUGGAAUUUAGAUUUGUAAACAGGUGCAUAGAGCACCAGGCAAGGAUGGGAAGAUGUAUUAAAAGACAAUUUUUGCUGGAGUCUUCUAAGAACCGAGAGACAGCCAUCAUCAAGAGAAAAAUGUGGUACAUUGGGGCACACUCAGUAACCUAGCAGGGGCCUGAGGCCAGUAACUGUUCCAGAUGACUCCCAGGCUUCCCUGCACCGUGAAAAAUAGAGCCCAGUUACUGGAAUAAUCGGCCAGAAUUUGCAUCCAUGGAUGCCACCUGAACCUGGCAGAGACCAGCACAGGGUGGCUGUAACAUAUCUCCAUGCGUCCACAUAGAAGCUUCUGUGGCAAGUCUAGAGCCUGUGCGGGGCCUUAAUUACCC